Molecule: ribosomal RNA, 504 nt
Filed under: uncultured bacterium
Lineage: Bacteria
Description: bacterial SSU rRNA
Rfam family: Bacterial small subunit ribosomal RNA
Source: RNAcentral
UGAGUAAUGUCUGGGAAACUGCCUGAUGGAGGGGGAUAACUACUGGAAACGGUAGCUAAUACCGCAUAACGUCUUCGGACCAAAGUGGGGGACCUUCGGGCCUCAUGCCAUCAGAUGUGCCCAGAUGGGAUUAGCUAGUAGGUGGGGUAAUGGCUCACCUAGGCGACGAUCCCUAGCUGGUCUGAGAGGAUGACCAGCCACACUGGAACUGAGACACGGUCCAGACUCCUACGGGAGGCAGCAGUGGGGAAUAUUGCACAAUGGGCGCAAGCCUGAUGCAGCCAUGCCGCGUGUAUGAAGAAGGCCUUCGGGUUGUAAAGUACUUUCAGCGAGGAGGAAGGCAUUAAGGUUAAUAACCUUAGUGAUUGACGUUACUCGCAGAAGAAGCACCGGCUAACUCCGUGCCAGCAGCCGCGGUAAUACGGAGGGUGCAAGCGUUAAUCGGAAUUACUGGGCGUAAAGCGCACGCAGGCGGUCUGUCAAGUCGGAUGUGAAGUCCCCGGG